UUAGAAACAAGGUCGACUAGGAGCGCAACGUCCUGUUGCAACGUCGACACUAGCACGUUCUGUGCG
This 66-nucleotide small RNA is filed under the name Virgibacillus necropolis. RNAcentral's name for it is "Bacillaceae-1 RNA". It matches the Rfam family "Bacillaceae-1 RNA". Lineage: Bacteria; Bacillati; Bacillota; Bacilli; Caryophanales; Bacillaceae. The record is from Rfam by way of RNAcentral.